RNAcentral lists this unclassified non-coding RNA (214 nucleotides) under Phaeosphaeria podocarpi. Its description in RNAcentral is "partial internal transcribed spacer region". The stretch from base 1 to 46 matches the Rfam family "Eukaryotic small subunit ribosomal RNA", at positions 1786 to 1831 of the family's 1831-position model. RNAcentral also lists the same sequence under 2 other names. The record is from RNAcentral. Lineage: Eukaryota; Fungi; Ascomycota; Dothideomycetes; Pleosporales; Phaeosphaeriaceae.
AAGUCGUAACAAGGUUUCCGUAGGUGAACCUGCGGAAGGAUCAUUACAUUCAGUAGCCUAGCUACUUGUUUAUACCCUUGUUUUUUGCGUACUAUUGUUUCCUCGGCGGGCUUGCCUGCCGGUUGGACAAAACUAUAACCUUUUUUAAAUCUUCAAUCAGCGUCUGAAUUAUACAUAAUAAUUACAACUUUCAACAACGGAUCUCUUGGUUCUG